AACGUAGGACGCAAGCGUUAUCCGGAGUUACUGGGCGUAAAGCGCGAGCAGGCGGCUCGACAAGUUCGAUGUGAAAGCGCCCGGCUCAACCGGGCGAGGCCAUUGGAAACUAUCGAGCUGGAGGGCAGUAGAGGCAGGCGGAAUUCCGGGUGGAGUGGUGAAAUGCGUAGAGAUCCGGAGGAACACCAGAGGCGAAGGCGGCCUGCUGGGCUGCACCUGACGCUGAGCCGCGAAAGCCAGGGGAGCGAACGGG
RNAcentral lists this ribosomal RNA (253 nucleotides) under uncultured bacterium. RNAcentral describes it as "partial 16S ribosomal RNA". It matches the Rfam family "Bacterial small subunit ribosomal RNA", at positions 524 to 776 of the family's 1533-position model. The record is from RNAcentral.